Bubalus bubalis (water buffalo) is the source of this 453-nucleotide long non-coding RNA. RefSeq lists it as uncharacterized. Lineage: Eukaryota; Metazoa; Chordata; Mammalia; Artiodactyla; Bovidae. The transcript is spliced from 3 exons. The record is from RefSeq and is a predicted model, not a curated record.
AGCUGGUGAUUGUUUUUAUCAAAGGAGCUGUGAGGGCCUGUGCCCCCUCUGCUGGUUUCCCUGGUAACUAAUGAGUACAUCUGACAUCAAUUCCCUAAAACUGGUAAUCCCUUCUCCUCCCCACCCCCUGAAGUCAAGAGAGCCCUGAUGUCCUGCCUGCGGUCAGCUGCACACGCUUGGGUGUAGUUCCCGGCCCUUGCUUCAGACAGAUUCCUGCUGAUUAGAAAUGGCAUCUCUAUCAUAUGCUUACCUACAUACAGUGAGCUGUCUCUGGGCUCUAUAGUCGUCUGAGUUAUUUAGCCAGUUCUGGCGCCCGGGCUGCGGCAGGUGUGGCGCAUGGGCUCAGAAGUUGCAGCUCCCAGACCCUAGAGCGCCGGCUCAGUCGUUGCGGCGCGCUGGCUUAGCUGCUUCUCGGCAUGUGGGAGCUUCCUGGACAAGGGAUCGAACCCGUAU